AUGUUCCUGAAAUGUUCGCCAGUUUUCUAUUUUUACCCACAUUUCAUUAAACGGAACCUGGGCCAGAUGACCAGAUGUCAUGCCCCCGUGCUCAGCACGCCAGGGGACGGCAGAAAGUUUUCGCCGGGCACCGGCCUGCUUAACAUAGCGGGUGAAAAAAUAGAGGGCAGCGGCAUUUCGGGGCAUCU
RNAcentral lists this non-coding RNA (188 nucleotides) under Clostridia bacterium. Its description in RNAcentral is "6S RNA". It matches the Rfam family "6S / SsrS RNA". Rfam says of the family: E. coli 6S RNA was the first non coding RNA to be sequenced, but its function was unknown until recently. Lineage: Bacteria; Bacillati; Bacillota; Clostridia. The record is from RNAcentral.